AAAAUACUCACUAAUAAUAUCCCUCCAUUUUUUCUCUCUACUUUCUCUAUCUGAAAAAUUUUUCCGAUCAAAAAUUGAAAUUCCGGCGAAAUCAUGGCGGCCGCAGCUGCCACAGCAAUAGCUUCUUCGUUUUCCAGUCUUCAUUCUAUACGUACUAAAUCAAAUUUGACUAAUUCCGAUCAUCUACUUAAAAUUUCAUCAGCUAGAACUCCAAAUCUAACUUUAAUUUCAUCGUCGGUAAGUGAACUGACGUCGAUUUACAAGAAGUGGAGGGUAUUGCCCAGGCUGUCAGCUGCGGUGGCGCAAGAGGAGGCGGAAGCGGCGGUGACGGAGGAGGAGGUGCCGGCGCCGGCGGUGGAUGAGGAGGAGAAGGUAGGAGAGGGUUCCGAUGGGAGUAGUGAAAGUGAAGGUGUUAAUACUAAGCUUUAUUUUGGGAAUUUGCCGUAUCUUUGUGAUAGUGCACAACUUGCUGGGAUUGUUCAAGACUAUGCUAGUCCUGAACUUGUUGAGGUUCUUUAUGAUAGGGACACAGGUAAAAGCAGAGGAUUUGCAUUUGUGACAAUGAGUACUCUUGAAGAUUGCAAGACAGUCGUCGAAAAUCUAGAUGGAAGAGAGUAUGGUGGCAGAACCCUAAGGGUGAAUUUCUCGGAUAAGCCUAAACCAAAAGAACCACUUUACCCCGAAACAGAACACAAACUCUUUGUUGGUAAUUUGGCGUGGUCAGUCUCAUCUGAAAGUUUAGCGCAAGCAUUUCAAGAAUAUGGAACUGUUGUUGGUGCUAGGGUACUGUAUGAUGGUGAGACCGGGAGAUCUCGUGGCUACGGUUUUGUGAGCUUUGAGACUAGAGAAGAAAUGGAGAAUGCUCUUAACAAUCUCAAUGGAGUGGAAUUGGAUGGAAGGGCAUUGCGAGUUAGCUUAGCACAAGGGAAGAAACAAUAAGAUGGGACAAAAUUCUUUGUAUAUUAGUUGUAUAAGUUGAAAUUUGCCAUCUACAUAUGAACAAUUUUAGUUCAUGGAUUAAGAUGGCUAAAAAGGCUUUUACUAGGUCAAAAGGAGAUGUAACUAUUUGUAUUACAUCACACAUACAAUGAGC
RNAcentral lists this unclassified non-coding RNA (1093 nucleotides) under Hevea brasiliensis (rubber tree). The record is from RNAcentral. Lineage: Eukaryota; Viridiplantae; Streptophyta; Magnoliopsida; Malpighiales; Euphorbiaceae.